UUGGCCGAGGACGUCUUCACCUGGGUGACCCGAGGGGACAGCCGGCCAAUCGGAGAUGAGGGGCUGUACAGUACCGUGUGUGUGUUGCCACACAACAGCUGGGAGUCCAAAAGGGUCCAACCUUUGUUCAAAUAUGCCAAAGACAUUUUAAGCUGACAUCAGUCAAUGAAGCCCACGCAGGAGUCUUCAGUUACUACGGAUAUGAGGGGGGGGAUCGAUGGAAGACUCGACCUGAUCCAUGUUAUGUCGUUCUGUGUGGAGACCUCAAUCAAUGGGGCAGGGUUAGGGUAGUUGCUCCUCGGCACAUGUGGGAGAACUGAGCUUUCUGGGUCAAUAUAUCACACACACUGAGAAGCUUGUUUCAUUUACGAUCUACUCUGAGCCUCCACAGAAAAAUGAUCCCAGGAACCUCUUAAAAGAAAAAAAAAAAGAAAAACCUGUAAAACUACCUGGGAUCCCCUUCAGGACCUCAGGUAGACCCUUGAUGGAUGGGGAUAGGUCUACCACCCCCCCCAAAAGAAGUCAAAUACCCAGAUAAGACUAGCACACUUUGCACUGAAAUCUUCAGUGUCAUCAGUGCCAAGUUGGCGACUCAGACGGAGGUGGACGUGUUGCUGAUAAAGCCCAAUCGGACGUGUCUCAGCAGACGAGGCUGUCAGUAGGACCGACUUUCCUUGACGUGCAUUUGGUUUCCCAAAGUCCGACUUCAUAUCUGAAGCAAUCUGGCAAUCUGAUGCAGUGACGCUGCUGCAGUACUUCAUUAAAAGACUCUAAAUUCACUACGCCGAGUCCCAAUAAAGAAGCGAACCACUAUUUGCCAGGUAAAGAAGCAGAGGAGUAAUCUGUAGCCGUCCUGACCUUAACCCCAUCUAACAGCUUUGGGAUGGACUGGAACGCUGACUGGGAGCCAGGAGCCAGUGUUGGCUGCAUCGGGGCAGAUCUCUGCAGCCGGGCAACACACAGUGGGCCUGAAACCAGAGGAGCGACGCCCAGUGGUUAAAAAUAACACAUGGCUGGAAUA
This is a long non-coding RNA of Pungitius pungitius (ninespine stickleback), 1021 nucleotides long. RefSeq lists it as uncharacterized. The transcript has 3 exons. The record is from RefSeq and is a predicted model, not a curated record. Lineage: Eukaryota; Metazoa; Chordata; Actinopteri; Perciformes; Gasterosteidae.